UGUCUACGUUCAAAACCGCGACGAGUGC
This 28-nucleotide small RNA is filed under the name Bombyx mori (domestic silkworm). RNAcentral's name for it is "ovarian small RNA-35765". The record is from RNAcentral. Lineage: Eukaryota; Metazoa; Arthropoda; Insecta; Lepidoptera; Bombycidae.